Molecule: ribosomal RNA, 339 nt
Filed under: Triticum aestivum (bread wheat)
Lineage: Eukaryota; Viridiplantae; Streptophyta; Magnoliopsida; Poales; Poaceae
Description: partial small subunit ribosomal RNA
Source: RNAcentral
AUGGGGAGGACAGGGAAUGACCCGCUACAGUGGGUCUCUGAACUAAUCGAUGACAUUACGGGAACAUGGGAUAUUGAAACAAUAAGUCGGAAUUUUCUUGCACCUGACGCAGAGGCCAUACUCAACAUUCCUAUUCGACACAACGGUGGAGAAGAUUUCCUGGCUUGGGCUUUUGAAAGAUCCGGUGAGUACACUGUAAAAUCAGCCUAUCGUGCUCUUGUGACUCAAAACGAGCGUCGAGCUCUAGAGGAAGGGACGGUAGUGGGAACCUCAGCUUCGCAAAAACAGUUGUGGACUACUCUAUGGAAACUCAAAGUGACCCCAAGAGUUCAGGUAUUC